This 658-nucleotide ribosomal RNA is filed under the name uncultured organism. RNAcentral describes it as "SSU rRNA". It matches the Rfam family "Bacterial small subunit ribosomal RNA", at positions 27 to 666 of the family's 1533-position model. The record is from RNAcentral.
GGACGAACGCUGGCGGCGUGCCUAAUACGUGCAAGUCCAUCGGACGAUUCAAAAGCUUGCUUUUGAAUCGUUAGCGGCGGACGGGUGAGUAACACGUGGGCAACCUGCCCUGUAGACGGGGAUAACACCGAGAAAUCGGUGCUAAUACCGGAUAACACGAAAGACCGCAUGGUUUUUCGUUGAAAGGCGGCGCAAGCUGUCGCUACAGGAUGGGCCCGCGGCGCAUUAGCUAGUUGGUGAGGUAACGGCUCACCAAGGCGACGAUGCGUAGCCGACCUGAGAGGGUGAUCGGCCACACUGGGACUGAGACACGGCCCAGACUCCUACGGGAGGCAGCAGUAGGGAAUCUUCCGCAAUGGACGAAAGUCUGACGGAGCAACGCCGCGUGAGCGAAGAAGGCCUUCGGGUCGUAAAGCUCUGUUGUUAGGGAAGAACAAGUACCGCAGUCACUGGUGGUACCUUGACGGUACCUAACGAGAAAGCCACGGCUAACUACGUGCCAGCAGCCGCGGUAAUACGUAGGUGGCAAGCGUUGUCCGGAAUUAUUGGGCGUAAAGCGCGCGCAGGCGGUUCCUUAAGUCUGAUGUGAAAGCCCACGGCUCAACCGUGGAGGGUCAUUGGAAACUGGGGGACUUGAGUGCAGAAGAGGAGAGCGGAA